GACGAACGCUGGCGGCGUGCCUAAUACAUGCAAGUCGAGCGGAUGAAAGAGGAGCUUGCUCCUCUCGAUUCAGCGGCGGACGGGUGAGUAACACGUGGGCAACCUGCCCUGUAGAUUGGGAUAACUCCGGGAAACCGGGGCUAAUACCGAAUAAUCCUUCGGACCUCAUGGUCCGAUGUUGAAAGACGGUUUCGGCUGUCACUACAGGAUGGGCCCGCGGCGCAUUAGCUAGUUGGUGAGGUAACGGCUCACCAAGGCCACGAUGCGUAGCCGACCUGAGAGGGUGAUCGGCCACACUGGGACUGAGACACGGCCCAGACUCCUACGGGAGGCAGCAGUAGGGAAUCUUCCACAAUGGACGAAAGUCUGAUGGAGCAACGCCGCGUGAGUGAAGAAGGUUCUCGGAUCGUAAAACUCUGUUGUGAGGGAAGAGCAAGUACCGGAGUAACUGCCGGUGCCUUGACGGUACCUCAUUAGAAAGCCACGGCUAACUACGUGCCAGCAGCCGCAGUAA
RNAcentral lists this ribosomal RNA (514 nucleotides) under uncultured bacterium. RNAcentral describes it as "partial 16S ribosomal RNA". It matches the Rfam family "Bacterial small subunit ribosomal RNA", at positions 28 to 523 of the family's 1533-position model. The record is from RNAcentral.